This 328-nucleotide unclassified non-coding RNA is filed under the name Hevea brasiliensis (rubber tree). The record is from RNAcentral. Lineage: Eukaryota; Viridiplantae; Streptophyta; Magnoliopsida; Malpighiales; Euphorbiaceae.
UUUUUAGCUAAAUUUGGAAUUUUUGUUCCAAUUCUUGGGAUAGAUCCUUAAAAUCAGUGAUUCAUACUUCUGUCUCCAUAGCAGUACCAAAGUUUAGCGAAUCCUUUUGUUGAGAAAUUAAGAACUUUGUUGGAGUUGGAAGAAUCCUCGUCAUUUACCCCAUUAUGUUCCUGUGAUCCAGAGGAAAUUUCCUUUCCAAGAUUCCCUCCCAACCCUAAUAUAAGAGACUUCAACUCCCCUAUGACAUUUUCCAUAGAGUUCUUGAUCUCCAUAAUCUCUUUUCUAACUCCUUCCACGUCAUGCCUGACUUCAUUUUGCAGGUUCUUGA